This 557-nucleotide ribosomal RNA is filed under the name uncultured eukaryote. RNAcentral's name for it is "SSU rRNA". It matches the Rfam family "Eukaryotic small subunit ribosomal RNA", at positions 4 to 565 of the family's 1831-position model. The record is from RNAcentral.
CUGGUUGAUCCUGCCAGUAGUCAUAUGCUUGUCUCAAAGAUUAAGCCAUGCAUGUCUAAGUAUAAGCCUUUACACGGCGAAACUGCGAAUGGCUCAUUAAAACAGUUAUAGUUUAUUUGAUAAUCGAUUACUACAUGGAUAACUGUAGUAAUUCUAGAGCUAAUACAUGCGUCAAUACCCGACUUCACGGAAGGGUCGUGUUUAUUAGAUACAGAACCAACCUGGGCAACCAGUCUUGUUGGUGAUUCAUAAUAACCAGGCGAGUCGCACAGUUCUGCUGGCGAUGGAUCAUUCAAGUUUCUGACCUAUCAGCUAUCGACGGUAGGGUAUUGGCCUACCGUGGCAUUGACGGGUAACGGAGAAUUAGGGUUCGAUUCCGGAGAGGGAGCCUGAGAAACGGCUACCACAUCUAAGGAUGGCAGCAGGCGCGCAAAUUACCCAAUCCUGACACAGGGAGGUAGUGACAAGAAAUAACAAUACAGGGCAACACUGUCUUGUAAUUGGAAUGAGUUUAAUUUAAAUCCCUUUUCGAGUAUCAAUUGGAGGGCAAGUCUGGU